GACGAACGCUGGCGGCGUGCCUAAUACAUGCAAGUCGAGCGAAGUUUUUCUGGUGCUUGCACUAGAAAAACUUAGCGGCGAACGGGUGAGUAACACGUAAAGAACCUGCCUCAUAGACUGGGACAACUAUUGGAAACGAUAGCUAAUACCGGAUAACAGCAUUAACUGCAUGGUUGAUGUUUAAAAGUUGGUUUUGCUAACACUAUGAGAUGGCUUUGCGGUGCAUUAGCUAGUUGGUGGGGUAAAGGCCUACCAAGGCGACGGUGCAUAGCCGACCUGAGAGGGUGAUCGGCCACACUGGGACUGAGACACGGCCCAGACUCCUACGGGAGGCAGCAGUAGGGAAUCUUCCGCAAUGGGCGAAAGCCUGACGGAGCAACGCCGCGUGAGUGAAGAAGGAUUUCGGUCCGUAAAGCUCUGUUGUUAGGGAAGAAUGAUUGUGUAGUAACUAUACACAGUAGAGACGGUACCUAACCAGAAAGCCACGGCUAACUACGUG
RNAcentral lists this ribosomal RNA (499 nucleotides) under uncultured bacterium. RNAcentral's name for it is "partial 16S ribosomal RNA". It matches the Rfam family "Bacterial small subunit ribosomal RNA", at positions 28 to 507 of the family's 1533-position model. The record is from RNAcentral.